This 358-nucleotide unclassified non-coding RNA is filed under the name soil metagenome. RNAcentral's name for it is "partial contains 5.8S ribosomal RNA, internal transcribed spacer 2, and large subunit ribosomal RNA". The stretch from base 1 to 120 matches the Rfam family "5.8S ribosomal RNA", at positions 35 to 154 of the family's 154-position model. The record is from RNAcentral.
GAUGAAGAACGCAGCGAAAUGCGAUAAGUAAUGUGAAUUGCAGAAUUCAGUGAAUCAUCGAAUCUUUGAACGCACAUUGCGCCCGCCAGUAUUCUGGCGGGCAUGCCUGUUCGAGCGUCAUUUCAACCAUCAAGCCCCCGGGCCUGUGUUGGGGACCUGCGGCUGCCCGCAGGCCCCGAAAACCAGUGGCGGGCUCGCUGUCACCCCGAGCGUAGUAGCAACACCUCGCCCAGGGAGUGCCGCGGGCACCGGCCGUAAAACCUCCUCUCGCCCCCCCCCGCGGGAGGGAACACCCCAAAGGUUGACCUCGGAUCAGGUAGGAAGACCCGCUGAACUUAAGCAUAUCAAAAGCGGAGGA